UCAUGCCCCUUACGACCAGGGCUACACACGUGCUACAAUGGCACAUCCCAAAGAGAAGCGACCUCGCCCGUGCAAGCGGACCUCAUAAACUUCGUCGUAGUCCGGAUUGGAUUCUGCAACUCGACUCCAUGCACCCGGUCUCGCUAGUAAUCUUGGUUCAGCAUGCCCCGGUGACUACGUUCCCGGUCCUUGUACACACCGCCC
This 204-nucleotide ribosomal RNA is filed under the name Salmonella enterica subsp. enterica serovar Typhimurium. RNAcentral describes it as "partial 16S ribosomal RNA". It matches the Rfam family "Bacterial small subunit ribosomal RNA", at positions 1193 to 1395 of the family's 1533-position model. The record is from RNAcentral. Lineage: Bacteria; Pseudomonadati; Pseudomonadota; Gammaproteobacteria; Enterobacterales; Enterobacteriaceae.